AUAAACGCUGGCGGCGUGCAUGAGACAUGCAAGUCGAACGAAGGAUCGGGCUUGCUCGAUCCUUAGUGGCGGACGGCUGAGUAACGCGUAGGUGACCUACCCCGAAGUGGGGAAUAACUGCCCGAAAGGGUGGCUAAUACCGCAUGUGGUCGCACGUUCAUUCGUGCCAGUAAAGCCGCAAGGCGCUUCGGGAGGGGCCUGCGUCCGAUUAGCUCCUUGGUGGGGUAAUGGCUUACCAAGGCGACGAUCGGUAGGUGGUCUGAGAGGACGAUCACCCAGACUGGGACUGAGACACGGCCCAGACUCCUACGGGAGGCAGCAGUCGGGAAUUUUGCUCAAUGGGGGAAACCCUGAAGCAGCAACGCCGCGUGAGGGAUGAAGGCCUUCGGGUUGUAAACCUCUUUUGUCAGGGACGAUGAUGACGGUACCUGGCGAAUAAGCCACGGCUAACUACGUG
RNAcentral lists this ribosomal RNA (457 nucleotides) under uncultured bacterium. RNAcentral's name for it is "partial 16S ribosomal RNA". It matches the Rfam family "Bacterial small subunit ribosomal RNA", at positions 29 to 507 of the family's 1533-position model. The record is from RNAcentral.